Molecule: ribosomal RNA, 559 nt
Filed under: uncultured bacterium
Lineage: Bacteria
Description: bacterial SSU rRNA
Rfam family: Bacterial small subunit ribosomal RNA
Source: RNAcentral
GGGGAUCUGCCCGAUAGAGGGGGAUAACCACUGGAAACGGUGGCUAAUACCGCAUAACGUCGCAAGACCAAAGAGGGGGACCUUCGGGCCUCUCACUAUCGGAUGAACCCAGAUGGGAUUAGCUAGUAGGCGGGGUAAUGGCCCACCUAGGCGACGAUCCCUAGCUGGUCUGAGAGGACGACCAGCCACACUGGAACUGAGACACGGUCCAGACUCCUACGGGAGGCAGCAGUGGGGAAUAUUGCACAAUGGGCGCAAGCCUGAUGCAGCCAUGCCGCGUGUAUGAAGAAGGCCUUCGGGUUGUAAAGUACUUUCAGCGGGGAGGAAGGCGAUGCGGUUAAUAACCGCGUCGAUUGACGUUACCCGCAGAAGAAGCACCGGCUAACUCCGUGCCAGCAGCCGCGGUAAUACGGAGGGUGCAAGCGUUAAUCGGAAUUACUGGGCGUAAAGCGCACGCAGGCGGUCUGUUAAGUCAGAUGUGAAAUCCCCGGGCUUAACCUGGGAACUGCAUUUGAAACUGGCAGGCUUGAGUCUUGUAGAGGGGGGUAGAAUUCCAGGU